This 408-nucleotide ribosomal RNA is filed under the name uncultured bacterium. RNAcentral's name for it is "partial 16S ribosomal RNA". It matches the Rfam family "Bacterial small subunit ribosomal RNA", at positions 28 to 526 of the family's 1533-position model. The record is from RNAcentral.
GACGAACGCUGGCGGCGUGCUUAACACAUGCAAGUCGAACGGAGUGGCGAACGGGUGAGUAACACGUGUGUGACCUGCCCUGCACUUCGGGCUAAGCCCGGGAAACUGGGUUUAAUACCGGCUCUUGUGGGAUGGGCCCGCGGCCUAUCAGCUUGUGUGUGGGUUAAUGGCCUACCAAGUCGGCGACGGGUAGCCGGCCUGAGAGGGUGGACGGCCACAAUGGGACUGAGACACGGGCCAGACUCCUACGGGAGGCAGAAGUGGGGAAUAUUGCACAAUGGGCGGAAGCCUGAUGCAGCGACGCCGCGUGGGGGAUGACGGCCUUCGGGGUGUAAACUCCUUUCACCAUAGACGCGGUAGAUGGAGAAGAAGCACCGGCUAACUACGUGCCAGCAGCCGCGGUAAUAC